AAUAGUUCGGACCCAAGUGCAGAGUUAGUUCAAAAGGUUUAUUCAACAGAAGAAAACAACUCCCAACAAAAAACUUCCCGUCAUACGGUGGAAACUGAACAAAAGGCAGACCCUCGGUCACAAAACAGAAAAUGGCAAAAGGCUGACAAACCAGAAACACAGUCCAAAGAGUAAUCCAUAGGCAGCAAAGGUCAGGUCCGAGAAGCAGUCCAAAAGGCACAGACAGGCAGAUAAUC
Long non-coding RNA from Alosa sapidissima (American shad), 236 nucleotides. RefSeq lists it as uncharacterized. Lineage: Eukaryota; Metazoa; Chordata; Actinopteri; Clupeiformes; Clupeidae. The transcript has 2 exons. The record is from RefSeq and is a predicted model, not a curated record.